AGAGUUUGAUCAUGGCUCAGAAUCAACGCUGGCGGCGCGCUUAACACAUGCAAGUCGCACGAGAAAAGUGGAGCAAUCCAUGAGUAAAGUGGCGUACGGGUGAGUAACACGUGGAUCAUCUACCUCUUAGUGGGGAAUAACCCUGGGAAACCGGGGCUAAUACCGCAUAAGCCUGAGAAGGGAAAGCAGCAAUGCGCUGAGAGAGGAGUCCGCGGCCGAUUAGCUAGUUGGUAGGGUAAUGGCCUACCAAGGCAAUGAUCGGUAGCCGGCCUGAGAGGGCACACGGCCACACUGGCACUGAAACACGGGCCAGACUCCUACGGGAGGCAGCAGUGGGGAAUCUUGCACAAUGGAGGAAACUCUGAUGCAGCGACGCCGCGUGAGCGAUGAAGCCCUUCGGGGUGUAAAGCUCUUUCGACGGGAACGAUAAUGACGGUACCCGGAGAAGAAGCUGCGGCUAACUACGUGCCAGCAGCCGCGGUAAUACGUAGGCAGCAAGCGUUGUUCGGAAUUACUGGGCGUAAAGAGUGUGUAGGCGGUUCUCUAUGUUCGGUGUGAAAUCUCCCGGCUUAACUGGGAGGGUGCGCCGAAAACUGGAGGGCUUGAGUAUGGGAGAGGAAAGCGGAAUUCCUGGUGUAGCGGUGAAAUGCGUAGAUAUCAGGAGGAACACCUGCGGUGUAGACGGCUUUCUGGACCAUCACUGACGCUGAGACGCGAAAGCGUGGGUAGCAAACAGGAUUAGAUACCCUAGUAGUCC
RNAcentral lists this ribosomal RNA (757 nucleotides) under uncultured bacterium. RNAcentral describes it as "bacterial SSU rRNA". It matches the Rfam family "Bacterial small subunit ribosomal RNA", at positions 8 to 796 of the family's 1533-position model. The record is from RNAcentral.